Molecule: ribosomal RNA, 392 nt
Filed under: uncultured bacterium
Lineage: Bacteria
Description: partial 16S ribosomal RNA
Rfam family: Bacterial small subunit ribosomal RNA
Source: RNAcentral
AUACGGAGGAUGCGAGCGUUAUCCGGAUUUAUUGGGUUUAAAGGGAGCGUAGGUGGGAUAUUAAGUCAGCUGUGAAAGUUUGGGGCUCAACCUUAAAAUUGCAGUUGAUACUGGUUUCCUUGAGUACGGUACAGGUGGGCGGAAUUCGUGGUGUAGCGGUGAAAUGCUUAGAUAUCACGAAGAACUCCGAUCGCGAAGGCAGCUCACCGGGCCGGAACUGACACUGAUGCUCGAAAGUGCGGGUAUCAAACAGGAUUAGAUACCCUGGUAGUCCGCACAGUAAACGAUGAAUACUCGCUGUUUGCGAUACACUGUAAGCGGCAAGCGAAAGCGUUAAGUAUUCCACCUGGGGAGUACGCCGGCAACGGUGAAACUUAAAGGAAUUGACGGGG